GAUGAACGCUGGCGGCGUGCCUAAUACAUGCAAGUCGAGCGAACAGACGAGGAGCUUGCUCCUCUGACGUUAGCGGCGGACGGGUGAGUAACACGUGGAUAACCUACCUAUAAGACUGGGAUAACUUCGGGAAACCGGAGCUAAUACCGGAUAAUAUAUUGAACCGCAUGGUUCAAUAGUGAAAGACGGUUUUGCUGUCACUUAUAGAUGUAUCCGCGCCGCAUUAGCAAGUUGGUAAGGUAACGGCUUACCAAGGCAACGAUGCGUAGCCGACCUGAGAGGAUGUACGGCCCCAGUGGAACAGCGACACGGUCCUGAGUCCUACGGGAGGCAGCAGUAGGGAAUCUUCCGCAGUGGGCGAAAGCCUGACAGAGCAACGCCGCGUGAGUGAUGAAGGUCUUCGGAUCGUACAACUCUGUUAUUAGGGAAGAACAAGUGUGUAAGUAACUAUGCACGUCUUGACGGUACCUAAUCAGAAAGCAACGGCUAACUACGUG
This 497-nucleotide ribosomal RNA is filed under the name uncultured bacterium. Its description in RNAcentral is "partial 16S ribosomal RNA". It matches the Rfam family "Bacterial small subunit ribosomal RNA", at positions 28 to 507 of the family's 1533-position model. The record is from RNAcentral.